Molecule: ribosomal RNA, 429 nt
Filed under: Gemmatimonadota bacterium
Lineage: Bacteria; Pseudomonadati; Gemmatimonadota
Description: Gemmatimonadetes bacterium partial 16S ribosomal RNA
Rfam family: Bacterial small subunit ribosomal RNA
Source: RNAcentral
UAGGGAAUCUUCGGCAAUGGACGAAAGUCUGACCGAGCAACGCCGCGUGAGUGAAGAAGGUUUUCGGAUCGUAAAACUCUGUUGUUAGAGAAGAACAAGGACGUUAGUAACUGAACGUCCCCUGACGGUAUCUAACCAGAAAGCCACGGCUAACUACGUGCCAGCAGCCGCGGUAAUACGUAGGUGGCAAGCGUUGUCCGGAUUUAUUGGGCGUAAAGCGAGCGCAGGCGGUUUCUUAAGUCUGAUGUGAAAGCCCCCGGCUCAACCGGGGAGGGUCAUUGGAAACUGGGAGACUUGAGUGCAGAAGAGGAGAGUGGAAUUCCAUGUGUAGCGGUGAAAGGCGUAGAUAUAUGGAGGAACACCAGUGGCGAAGGCGGCUCUCUGGUCUGUAACUGACGCUGAGGCUCGAAGGCGUGGGGAGCAAACAGG